CACGCUGGCGGCGUGCCUAACACAUGCAAGUCGAACGUCUUGGGGGUUUACGGACCCGCAAGGAGUGGCGGACGGGUGAGUAACACAUGGGUGACCUACCCCCUGGUGAGGGAUACCGGCGAGAAAUCGCCGACAAGCCCGCAUGAGCUCGGACUGGUGGAGCGGAGCGAGCAAAGUCUUCUUUUGGGGAGACGCCAGGGGAUGGGCCUGUGGCCGAUUAGCUAGUUGGUGGGGUAAGAGCCUACCAAGGCUGCGAUCGGUAGCUGGUCUGAGAGGACGAACAGCCACACUGGGAUUGAGAACGGCCCAGACUCCUACGGGGGGCAGCAGUGAGGAAUUUUCCGCAAUGGGCAAAGAGCCUGACGGAGCAACGCCGCGUGCAGGAGGACGCUUUUCGGAGUGUAAACUGCUUUUCUGUGGGACGAGCGAGGACGGUACCACAGGAAGAAGCCCCGGCUAACUACGUGCCAGCAGCCGCGGUAAUACGUAGGGGGCGAGCGUUGUCCGGAGUUACUGGGCGUAAAGGGCAUGCAGGCGGUCGGGCGCGUUUGGUGUGACAGCGCAUGGCUCAACCAUGCGAGCAUACGAAAGACGG
RNAcentral lists this ribosomal RNA (595 nucleotides) under uncultured bacterium. RNAcentral describes it as "bacterial SSU rRNA". It matches the Rfam family "Bacterial small subunit ribosomal RNA", at positions 32 to 635 of the family's 1533-position model. The record is from RNAcentral.